CUACGGAAGGCAGCAGUAGGGAAUAUUGCACAAUGGGCGCAAGCCUGAUGCAGCAACGCCGCGUGCGCGAUGAAGGCCUUCGGGUCGUAAAGCGCUUUUCUGGAGGACGAGGAAGGACGGUACUCCAGGAAGAAGGCUCGGCUAACUACGUGCCAGCAGCCGCGGUAAAACGUAGGAGCCUAGCGUUAUCCGAAUUCACUGGGCGUAAAGCGCGUGCAGGCGGUUCGGUAAGUUGGAUGUGAAAUCUCCUGGCUCAACUGGGAGAGGACGUUCAAGACUGUCGGACUAGAGGACGGUAGAGGAAGGUAGAAUUCCCGGUGUAGUGGUGAAAUGCGUAGAUAUCGGGAGGAAUACCAGUGGCGAAGGCGGCCUUCUGGGCCGUUCCUGACGCUCAGACGCGAAAGCUAGGGGAGCAAACGGGAUUAGAAACCCCAGUAGUCCA
RNAcentral lists this ribosomal RNA (442 nucleotides) under uncultured bacterium. RNAcentral's name for it is "bacterial SSU rRNA". It matches the Rfam family "Bacterial small subunit ribosomal RNA", at positions 339 to 797 of the family's 1533-position model. The record is from RNAcentral.